CCAUGAAAAGUAUUUAGGUUGGUGCAAAAGUAAUUGUGGUCUUUGCCAUAAAAGUAAUGGCAAUGCAAUUACUUUUGCACCAACCUAAUACUUUA
Molecule: microRNA precursor, 95 nt
Filed under: Chlorocebus sabaeus (green monkey)
Lineage: Eukaryota; Metazoa; Chordata; Mammalia; Primates; Cercopithecidae
Description: miRNA (ENSCSAG00000027296.1)
Source: RNAcentral